Molecule: transfer RNA, 74 nt
Filed under: Macaca mulatta (Rhesus monkey)
Lineage: Eukaryota; Metazoa; Chordata; Mammalia; Primates; Cercopithecidae
Description: tRNA-Arg (TCT) (tRNA-Arg-TCT-7-1)
Rfam family: tRNA
About the family: Transfer RNA (tRNA) molecules are approximately 80 nucleotides in length.
Source: RNAcentral
GCUCUGGUGGCUCAAUCGGAUAGAGCGUUGGACUUCUAAUCCAAAUGUUGCGGGUUCAAGUCCCGCCCAGAGUA